AUGGCGGCCGGAGCAGCUGGAGGAGGGAGUGACGAGCUCAAGCUGCUGGGGGUCUGGGUGAGCCCGUUCGUGCACCGGGUGCAGGUCGCGCUGCACCUCAAGGGGCUCACCGGCUACGAGUACGCCGAGGAGGACCUCACCAACAAGAGCGACCUCCUCCUCGCCUCCAACCCCGUCCACACCAAGGUCCCCGUGCUCCUCCACGCCGGCAAGCCCGUCUGCGAGUCCAUGCUCAUCGUGCAGUACCUCGACGAGGCCUUCCCCGGCUCCGGCCCCGCCCUCCUCCCCGCCGACCCCCACGACCGCGCCGUCGCUCGCUUCUGGGCCGCCUACGCCGACGACCAGUUCUUUGCCUCGUGGAUCAAGGCGUUCGUGGGGACGACGGACGAGGAGAGGGCGGCGGCGACGGAAGCCGCGGUGGCAGCGCUGCAGAAGAUGGAGGGCGCGUUCGGCGAGUGCUCCAAGGGCAAGGCCUUCUUCGGCGGCGACGGCCCGGGGUACGUGGACAUCGCGCUCGGCGGGUUCGUCGCGUGGAUACGCGCGUUCCACGCGGUGGCCAGCGUGAACCUCCUGGACGCCGCCCGGACCCCGUUGCUGGCGGCCUGGGCGGAGCGCUUUGCCGCUCUCGACGCCGCCAAGGAGGUCAUCCCGGACGUCGACCGCAUCGCCGAGUUCGCCAAGCACGAUCUGCUGCCGCUGCUCCAGAAACUGCAUCCGAAAAACUGA
Molecule: ribosomal RNA, 726 nt
Filed under: Triticum aestivum (bread wheat)
Lineage: Eukaryota; Viridiplantae; Streptophyta; Magnoliopsida; Poales; Poaceae
Description: partial small subunit ribosomal RNA
Source: RNAcentral